RNAcentral lists this ribosomal RNA (425 nucleotides) under uncultured bacterium. Its description in RNAcentral is "partial 16S ribosomal RNA". It matches the Rfam family "Bacterial small subunit ribosomal RNA", at positions 354 to 796 of the family's 1533-position model. The record is from RNAcentral.
GUGGGGAAUAUUGGGCAAUGGGCGAAAGCCUGACCCAGCAACGCCGCGUGAAGGAAGAAGGUCUUCGGAUCGUAAAGCCCUUUCGACAGGGACGAUGAUGACGGUACCUGUAGAAGAAGCCCCGGCUAACUUCGUGCCAGCAGCCGCGGUAAUACGAAGGGGGCUAGCGUUACUCGGAAUUACUGGGCGUAAAGGGCGCGUAGGCGGCUCUGUUAGUCAGGCGUGAAAUUCCUGGGCUUAACCUGGGGACUGCGCUUGAUACUGCAGGGCUUGAGGCCGAGAGAGGGUGGUGGAAUUCCCAGUGUAGAGGUGAAAUUCGUAGAUAUUGGGAAGAACACCGGUGGCGAAGGCGACCACCUGGCUCGGUUCUGACGCUGAGGCGCGACAGCGUGGGGAGCAAACAGGAUUAGAAACCCUGGUAGUCC